This is a long non-coding RNA of Sorghum bicolor (sorghum), 843 nucleotides long. RefSeq lists it as uncharacterized. Lineage: Eukaryota; Viridiplantae; Streptophyta; Magnoliopsida; Poales; Poaceae. The transcript has 2 exons. The record is from RefSeq and is a predicted model, not a curated record.
AUCUAGAUAGGACUCCGAGUCGACGUUGGCUUCGAGGUACUCGACUCCACUCCGAGCUCGCGAUUGGGGAGGCAGAUCGAGUCUUCAGAUCCCGUACGCGCUCGCCGCCGCCGCCACAAUUCCUCCCGCGCGCUAGGCCACUCCCGCGCGAGCCAUCUCCCGCGUGAUGCUUCCCUGCCGAAUCGCCGCGCGCGCGAGCUCCUGCGGAAGCCAACUUCCCCGCCAAAUCGCUGCCGCUGCCUUCAUCUCACAAACGGGAAUACAAAUCGAGCGCCCCCAGACUCCACACCACACCAGUAGGGAAGGACUAGGAACAGAGAAGAAGACGCCCGGUGAUCUCUGUGCCAGGUUCGUCAGCUAGCUAUACAAAGGGAUCCCAGGUCCGAAUUGAGGAUGAACAGAUUAAAGAAGUCUAGUUUCCGGCGAGGCAGUGGUGGCCGUGGAACCUGACCUCCGUCUGUCCAUGGUCCUAUGACCUCUGUUCCGGCUGUAGGUGCACCUGCAACUCAGAGUCAUGCCACUGACGGUGCUGCAGCAGUAGGUGUUGCUGUUCCUGUCAAUACUCCUGCAGUCAGUGCUUCUCCCUUUGGUGGAUGGUGGCCAAUGUCAGCUCCCUUCGGUUCAGUGAUAUACUAUAUGCGAAUGUGGUUCUGGUGAUAUAUAUGAGUAUAUACUAGAAGCAAAUAUUUGCAGCUGAAUGUGUUCCUUGUAUCAAAUGUUAAGUGUAUGGAGGAUCAUACAGUGAUAUGCUACAGCAGAUCAGUUUGUUUUGUGCUGCAUAAUAAAUGUUUUUACGGGUAGAAACUACUUUACAAACUUUGCAUUGAGAGCAUGGUUUCUUAA